AGGAAUAUUGGGCAAUGCCCGCAAGGUUGACCCAGCAACGCCGCGUGGAGGAUGAAUGUCGUAAGAUUGUAAACUCCUGUUAGAGGGGAAGAAUAGUACCGGUUGUACCGGUAUAUGACUGUACCCUCAGAGAAAGCCCCGGCUAACUACGUGCCAGCAGCCGCGGUAAUACGUAGGGGGCAAGCGUUGUCCGGAUUUCCUGGGCGUAUAGGGCGCGCAGGCGGGAUAAAAAGUCAGUGGUGAAAUCCUACAGCUUAACUGUAGAACUGCCUUUGAUACUUUUAUUCUUGAGUUAGGGAGAGAGAGACGGAAUUCCAGGUGGAGGGGUGAAAUACGUAGAUAUCUGGAAGAACACCAGUUGCGAAGGCGGUCUCUUGGUCCGACACUGACGCUGAGGCGCGAAAGCGUGGGGAGCAAACA
RNAcentral lists this ribosomal RNA (420 nucleotides) under uncultured bacterium. Its description in RNAcentral is "bacterial SSU rRNA". It matches the Rfam family "Bacterial small subunit ribosomal RNA", at positions 357 to 774 of the family's 1533-position model. The record is from RNAcentral.